This 497-nucleotide ribosomal RNA is filed under the name uncultured bacterium. RNAcentral's name for it is "partial 16S ribosomal RNA". It matches the Rfam family "Bacterial small subunit ribosomal RNA", at positions 28 to 507 of the family's 1533-position model. The record is from RNAcentral.
GAUGAACGCUGGCGGCGUGCCUAAUACAUGCAAGUCGAGCGAACAGACGAGGAGCUUGCUCCUCUGACGUUAGCGGCGGACGGGUGAGUAACACGUGGAUAACCUACCUAUAAGACUGGGAUAACUUCGGGAAACCGGAGCUAAUACCGGAUAAUAUAUUGAACCGCAUGGUUCAAUAGUGAAAGACGGUUUUGCUGUCACUUAUAGAUGGAUCCGCGCGGCAUUAGCUAGUUGGUAAGGUAACGGCUUACCAAGGCAACGAUGCGUAGCCGACCUGAGAGGGUGAUCGGCCACACUGGAACUGAGACACGGUCCAGACUCCUACGGGAGGCAGCAGUAGGGAAUCUUCCGCAAUGGGCGAAAGCUUGACGGAGCAACGCCGCGUGAGUGAUGAAGGUCUUCGGAUCGUAAAACUCUGUUAUUAGGGAAGAACAAAUGUGUAAGUAACUAUGCACAUCUUGACGGUACCUAAUCAGAAAGCCACGGCUAACUACGUG